AGAGUUUGAUUCUGGCUCAGGAUGAACGCUGGCGGCGUGCUUAACACAUGCAAGUCGAACGGGAAACCUUUUAUUGAAGCUUCGGCAGAUUUAGCUGGUUUCUAGUGGCGGACGGGUGAGUAACGCGUGGGUAACCUGCCCUAUACAGGGGGAUAACAACCAGAAAUGGUUGCUAAUACCGCAUAAGCGCACAGGACCGCAUGGUCCGGUGUGAAAAACUCCGGUGGUAUAGGAUGGACCCGCGUUGGAUUAGCCAGUUGGCAGGGUAACGGCCUACCAAAGCGACGAUCCAUAGCCGGCCUGAGAGGGUGAACGGCCACAUUGGGACUGAGACACGGCCCAG
Molecule: ribosomal RNA, 343 nt
Filed under: uncultured bacterium
Lineage: Bacteria
Description: bacterial SSU rRNA
Rfam family: Bacterial small subunit ribosomal RNA
Source: RNAcentral